RNAcentral lists this ribosomal RNA (433 nucleotides) under uncultured bacterium. RNAcentral's name for it is "partial 16S ribosomal RNA". It matches the Rfam family "Bacterial small subunit ribosomal RNA", at positions 29 to 507 of the family's 1533-position model. The record is from RNAcentral.
AACGAACGCUGGCGGCAGGCCUAACACAUGCAAGUCGAACGAAGUCUUCGGACUUAGUGGCGCACGGGUGUGUCGCACGUGGGAAUAUACCUUACGCUGGGGGAUACCAUCGGGAAACUGAUGAUAAUACCGCACACGCCCUUCGAGGGAAUGAUUUAUCGACGAAAGUUUAGCAGGCGUCCGAUUAGCUAGUUGGUGAGGUAAUGGCUCACGACGGCUCCGAUCGGUAGCUGGUCUGAGAGGAUGACCAGCGACUCUGAGACUGAGACGCGGCCCAGACUCCUACGGGAGGCAGCAGAGGGGGAUAUUGGACAACGGGCGCAAUCCUGAACCAGCCAGGCCGCGUAAGUUAUGAAAUCCUUAAAGUAGUAAAGCGCAAUCAACCGCGACGAUGAUGACGGUAGUGGGAGAAAAAGCCCCGGCUAACUUCGUG